CUGAAGAGUUUGAUCAUGGCUCAGAUUGAACGCUGGCGGCAGGCCUAAGACAUGCAAGUCGAACGGUAACGACACUAGCUUGCUAGUGGUCGACGAGUGGCGGACGGGUGAGUAACGCGUAGGAAUCUACCUAGUAGUGGGGGAUAGCCAAGGGAAACUUUGGGUAAUACCGCAUACGAUCUAAGGAUGAAAGGGGGCCUCUCUUUGAAGCUCUCGCUAUUAGAUGAGCCUGCGUAAGAUUAGCUUGUUGGUGGGGUAAUGGCCCACCAAGGCGACGAUCUUUAGCUGGUCUGAGAGGAUGAUCAGCCACACCGGGACUGAGACACGGCCCGGACUCCUACGGGAGGCAGCAGUCGGGAAUAUUGCGCAAUGGGGGAAACCCUGACGCAGCCAUGCCGCGUGUGUGAAGAAGGCCCUAGGGUUGUAAAGCACUUUUAGUAGUGAGGAAGGCUCAGUAGUUAAUACCUACUGGGAUUGACGUUAGCUACAGAAAAAGCACCGGCUAAUUUCGUGCCAGCAGCCGCGGUAAUACGAAAGGUGCAAGCGUUAAUCGGAAUUACUGGGCGUAAAGCGCGCGUAGGCGGACUGGAAAGUUGGGGGUGAAAUCCCAGGGCUCAACCCUGGAACUGCCUCCAAAACUAUCAGUCUAGAGUUCGAGAGAGGUGAGUGGAAUUCCGAGUGUAGAGGUGAAAUUCGUAGAUAUUCGGAGGAACACCAGUGGCGAAGGCGGCUCACUGGCUCGAUACUGACGCUGAGGUGCGAAAGUGUGGGGAGCAAACAGGAUUAGAUACCCUGGUAGUCCACACCGUAAACGAUGAAUGCCAGUCGUCGGGUAGCAUGCUAUUCGGUGACACACCUAACGGAUUAAGCAUUCCGCCUGGGGAGUACGGUCGCAAGAUUAAAACUCAAAGAAAUUGACGGGGGCCCGCACAAGCGGUGGAGCAUGUGGUUUAAUUCGAUGAUACGCGAGGAACCUUACCAGGGCUUAAAUGUAGAUUGACAGGUUUAGAGAUAGACUUUUCUUCGGACAAUUUACAAGGUGCUGCAUGGUUGUCGUCAGCUCGUGCCGUGAGGUGU
Molecule: ribosomal RNA, 1077 nt
Filed under: Ctenophora environmental sample
Lineage: Eukaryota; Metazoa; Ctenophora
Description: partial Bacterial small subunit ribosomal RNA
Rfam family: Bacterial small subunit ribosomal RNA
Source: RNAcentral